AGAGUUUGAUCCUGGCUCAGAACGAACGCUGGCGGCGUGGAUAAGACAUGCAAGUCGAACGGGAAACAUUUUAAGCUUGCUUUGAAUGUUUCUAGUGGCGGACGGGUGAGUAACACGUGAGCAACCUGCCCUGAAGUGGGGAAUAGCCCGGGGAAACUCGGAUUAAUACCGCAUGUGAUCGCAAGAUUAAAGGUGGCGUAAGCUGCCGCUUCAGGAUGGGCUCGCGGCCUAUCAGCUAGUUGGUGAGGUAACGGCUCACCAAGGCGACGACGGGUAGCUGGUCUGAGAGGAUGAUCAGUCACACUGGAACUGAGACACGGUCCAGACACCUACGGGUGGCAGCAGUCGAGAAUCAUUCGCAAUGGGCGAAAGCCUGACGGUGCGACGCCGCGUGGAGGAUGAAGGCCCUCGGGUCGUAAACUCCUGUCAUCAGGGAGUAAGGCUUUAUAUAGUAACUGAUAUAAAGAUUGAUAGUACCUGAAGAGGAAGGGACGGCUAACUUCGUGCCAGCAGCCGCGGUAAUACGAAGGUCCCAAGCGUUGUUCGGAUUUACUGGGCGUAAAGCGUCUGUAGGCGGUUAGGUAAGUCAGAUGUGAAAUCCCGGGGCUCAACCUCGGAACUGCAUCCGAUACUGCCUGACUAGAGUAUUGGAGGGGGGUCUGGAAUUCUCGGUGUAGCAGUGAAAUGCGUAGAUAUCGAGAGGAACACUAGUGGCGAAGGCGAGACUCUGGACAAUAACUGACGCUGAGAGACGAAGGCCAGGGUAGCGAAAAGGAUUAGAUACCCUUGUAGUCCUGGCAGUAAACGGUGCACGCUUGGUGUGCGGGGAAUCGACCCCCUGCGUGCCGGAGCUAACGCGUCAAGCGUGCCGCCUGGGGAGUACGGCCGCAAGGUUAAAACUCAAAGGAAUGACGGG
RNAcentral lists this ribosomal RNA (916 nucleotides) under uncultured bacterium. Its description in RNAcentral is "bacterial SSU rRNA". It matches the Rfam family "Bacterial small subunit ribosomal RNA", at positions 8 to 917 of the family's 1533-position model. The record is from RNAcentral.